Molecule: ribosomal RNA, 500 nt
Filed under: uncultured Glomeromycotina
Lineage: Eukaryota; Fungi; Glomeromycota
Description: partial small subunit ribosomal RNA
Rfam family: Eukaryotic small subunit ribosomal RNA
Source: RNAcentral
CCAAUAGCGUAUAUUAAAGUUGUUGCAGUUAAAAAGCUCGUAGUUGAAUUUCGGGGUUAGUAGGUUGGUCAUGCCACUGGUAUGUACUGGUCUCACUGGUUCCUCCUUCCUGAUGAACCGUAAUGCCAUUAAUUUGGUGUUGCGGGGAGACUGGACUGUUACUUUGAAAAAAUUAGAGUGUUUAAAGCAGGCUAACGCUUGAAUACAUUAGCAUGGAAUAAUGAAAUAGGACGUUCGAUCCUAUUUUGUUGGUUUCUAGGAUUGACGUAAUGAUUAAUAGGGAUAGUUGGGGGCAUUAGUAUUCAAUUGUCAGAGGUGAAAUUCUUGGAUUUAUUGAAGACUAACUACUGCGAAAGCAUUUGCCAAGGAUGUUUUCAUUAAUCAAGAACGAAAGUUAGGGGAUCGAAGACGAUCAGAUACCGUCGUAGUCUUAACCAUAAACUAUGCCGACUAGGGAUCGGAUGAUGUUAAUUUUUUAAUGACUCAUUCGGCGCCUUACG